RNAcentral lists this transfer RNA (74 nucleotides) under Hemiarma marina. RNAcentral's name for it is "tRNA-Asp". It matches the Rfam family "tRNA". Rfam says of the family: Transfer RNA (tRNA) molecules are approximately 80 nucleotides in length. The record is from RNAcentral. Lineage: Eukaryota; Cryptophyceae; Goniomonadida; Goniomonadaceae.
GGGGGAGUAGCUUAGCCAGGUAGAGUAUUAGUUUGUCACGCUAAAGGCCGCGGGUUCGAGUCCCGUCUCUCCCG